RNAcentral lists this ribosomal RNA (327 nucleotides) under uncultured bacterium. RNAcentral describes it as "bacterial SSU rRNA". It matches the Rfam family "Bacterial small subunit ribosomal RNA", at positions 28 to 334 of the family's 1533-position model. The record is from RNAcentral.
GAUGAACGCUGGCGGCGUGCCUAACACAUGCAAGUCGAACGAAGCUUGACGAAUGAUUUUUUCGGAAUGAAUUCUGAUAUGACUUAGUGGCGGACGGGUGAGUAACACGUGAGCAACCUGCCUUUCAGUGGGGGAAUAACAGUUGGAAACAGCUGCUAAUACCGCAUAAUGCAACGGAUCGCAUGACUCUGUUAGCCAAAGAUUUAUCGCUCUGAGAUGGCCUCGCGUCUGAUUAGCUAGUUGGUGAGGUAACGGCCCACCAAGGCGACGAUCGGUAGCCGGACUGAGAGGUUGAACGGCCACAUUGGGACUGAGACACGGGCCCAG